UACGAGUGCCCCAAGCGUUAUCCGGAAUUAUUGGGUGUAAAGGGUGCGUAGGUGGCCAUAUUAGUCUUGUGUUAAACCCUGGGGCUCAACCCCAGAUCUGCACAGGAAACGGUAUGGCUAGAGGGUGUGAGGGGUCUGUGGAACUCAUGGUGUAGGGGUGAAAUCCGUUGAUAUCAUGGGGAACACCAAAAGCGAAGGCAGCAGACUGGCACAUUCCUGACACUGAGGCACGAAAGCGUAGGUAGCGAAUGGG
RNAcentral lists this ribosomal RNA (253 nucleotides) under uncultured bacterium. RNAcentral's name for it is "partial 16S ribosomal RNA". It matches the Rfam family "Bacterial small subunit ribosomal RNA", at positions 524 to 776 of the family's 1533-position model. The record is from RNAcentral.